RNAcentral lists this long non-coding RNA (454 nucleotides) under Crocodylus porosus (Australian saltwater crocodile). RNAcentral describes it as "lncRNA (ENSCPRG00005014804.1)". Lineage: Eukaryota; Metazoa; Chordata; Crocodylia; Crocodylidae. The record is from RNAcentral.
CCCACGAUACCACUUUCAAAGGCUAAUCUUGGAUUAACAAGAAAUUAGAGCAUAUAUAUUGUAAGUUCUGUAUUUUUCUCGUGUUAAAUCUGAUUGCUGCUUAUCUCCCUAUUUUGUAUAUCUCCCUUAAAGCAUACAAAGGUGAUCAAAUCACUACAUUACUGGAAUUUUGACAUUCACCAUUUGCAUGGAAAUUCUGUUUAGUCUGGAUUGUCUAAGAAACUCCGUCAAUUAGAUUUCAUUGUCAGCCUUGGUAGCUGGAUGGGGAAUCAGCUGCAGCUCCACAAGGACAGACCAUAGUAUGGACUUUCAUGUAUGUUCAUGAGAUGCAGUCAGUAUGUGAGAUGAGGAUAAUUAAAGAGCAGAGAAAAGUAAAUGAGUGGAAUAAACUGCUUAAGAAGGAACCCAACGGAUGGCUUUGACAAAGCAGCUUUGAGGGACUGAAUUUUCUGCA